UAGUUCCACCGUCGUAUCAUGAUUUCCCCAAAAUACCUCCAUAUCCUUUCACUGUAACAGGGAGUGUUUAUGAGGAUGGCAACUUACCUCCUGAUCCAUUUCUUGGCUUUCCUGGCACACCUUCAACUCCCAUCAUGGCUUUAGGUUUCCCCAGAAGUACCAGAGCACCGAAAUGUCGAUGCGCAACAUCCUGCAGCAAGGAUGAUUAUCCAGCCGGAUGGUGCAAUCGUCGUUUACGCUACUGUUGUGAACU
Molecule: non-coding RNA, 253 nt
Organism: Anolis sagrei ordinatus
Lineage: Eukaryota; Metazoa; Chordata; Lepidosauria; Squamata; Anolidae
Source: RefSeq, a predicted model, not a curated record